AUUCUAGAGCUAAUACAUGCUGUAAUGCCCGACUUUUUGGAAGGGCCGUAUUUAUUAGAUAUCAACCAAUAAGACUUGUUCUAUUGUGGUGAAUCAUAGUAACUGAUCGGAUCGCAGGCAAGCCCUGCGACAAACCAUUCAAGUUUCUGCCCCAUCAGCUUACGAUGGUAGUGUAUUGGACUACCAUGGCUUUUACGGGUAACGGAGGAUUAGGGUUCGAUUCCGGAGAGGGAGCCUGAGAAACGGCUACCACAUCUAAGGAAGGCAGCAGGCGCGUAAAUUACCCAAUCCUGACUCAGGGAGGUAGUG
RNAcentral lists this ribosomal RNA (309 nucleotides) under uncultured Spirotrichea. RNAcentral describes it as "SSU rRNA". It matches the Rfam family "Eukaryotic small subunit ribosomal RNA", at positions 155 to 469 of the family's 1831-position model. The record is from RNAcentral. Lineage: Eukaryota; Ciliophora; Spirotrichea.